UCCUGAGGUGCUCGAGUGAUCCGUGGCUAAGGAACUAGGCAAAAUGGCCCUGUAACUUCGGGAGAAGGGGCGCUUCCUCAUGCUUGCAUGAGAAGCCGCAGUGAAUAGGCCCAGGCGACUGUUUAGCAAAAACACAUGGCUUUGCGAAAUCGAAAGAUAAAGUAUAAGGCCUGACACCUGCCCGGUGCUGGAAGGUUAAG
Molecule: ribosomal RNA, 200 nt
Filed under: Oxyrrhis marina
Lineage: Eukaryota; Dinophyceae; Oxyrrhinales; Oxyrrhinaceae
Description: partial Bacterial large subunit ribosomal RNA
Rfam family: Bacterial large subunit ribosomal RNA
Source: RNAcentral